RNAcentral lists this ribosomal RNA (497 nucleotides) under uncultured bacterium. RNAcentral's name for it is "partial 16S ribosomal RNA". It matches the Rfam family "Bacterial small subunit ribosomal RNA", at positions 28 to 507 of the family's 1533-position model. The record is from RNAcentral.
GACGAACGCUGGCGGCGUGCCUAAUACAUGCAAGUUGAGCGAUGAAGAUUGGUGCUUGCACCAAUUUGAAGAGCAGCGAACGGGUGAGUAACGCGUGGGGAAUCUGCCUUUGAGCGGGGGACAACAUUUGGAAACGAAUGCUAAUACCGCAUAACAACUUUAAACAUAAGUUUUAAGUUUGAAAGAUGCAAUUGCAUCACUCAAAGAUGAUCCCGCGUUGUAUUAGCUAGUUGGUGAGGUAAAGGCUCGCCAAGGCGAUGAUACAUAGCCGACCUGAGAGGGUGAUCGGCCACAUUGGGACUGAGACACGGCCCCAACUCCUACGGGAGGCAGCAGUAGGGAAUCUUCGGCAAUGGACGAAAGUCUGACCGAGCAACGCCGCGUGAGUGAAGAAGGUUUUCGGAUCGUAAAACUCUGUUGGUAGAGAAGAACGUUGGUGAGAGUGGAAAGCUCAUCAAGUGACGGUAACUACCCAGAAAGGGACGGCUAACUACGUG